RNAcentral lists this transfer RNA (66 nucleotides) under Dipodomys ordii (Ord's kangaroo rat). It matches the Rfam family "tRNA". From Rfam's summary of the family: Transfer RNA (tRNA) molecules are approximately 80 nucleotides in length. Their secondary structure includes four short double-helical elements and three loops (D, anti-codon, and T loops). Further hydrogen bonds mediate the characteristic L-shaped molecular structure. tRNAs have two regions of fundamental functional importance: the anti-codon, which is responsible for specific mRNA codon recognition, and the 3' end, to which the tRNAs corresponding amino acid is attached (by aminoacyl-tRNA synthetases). tRNAs cope with the degeneracy of the genetic code in two manners: having more than one tRNA (with a specific anti-codon) for a particular amino acid; and 'wobble' base-pairing, i.e. permitting non-standard base-pairing at the 3rd anti-codon position. The record is from Rfam by way of RNAcentral. Lineage: Eukaryota; Metazoa; Chordata; Mammalia; Rodentia; Heteromyidae.
GGUGUGGCUUAGUGGUAGAGUGCUUGCCUAUCAUGCAUGAAGCCCUGGGUUCAAUUCCUCAGUACC